This 305-nucleotide long non-coding RNA is filed under the name Helianthus annuus (common sunflower). RNAcentral's name for it is "hypothetical non coding rna". The record is from RNAcentral. Lineage: Eukaryota; Viridiplantae; Streptophyta; Magnoliopsida; Asterales; Asteraceae.
GUGUGUGUGUGUCUGGUCGAAUACAUCAGGAACCAAGAAGGAGCUCUUGCCAAAACACUAAACACAUAAAUUUGAGUAAAUUCAAGAGGAAUCAAGCAUAGACAUUUGGGGUUUUAACUAAAAUCGUGAUCAACUAGCUUAGGGGAUCACAAGGCAAGGAGGUUGAAUCUUCAAGCGGUCAAGUUGGAGCGGACGCGCGCUUGAAGGAUAAGCUUUGAAAGUGAUAAAGUAUGUGUUUGGUGAAUGACAUAGGCCUCCGGAUGAAGAUCAAGCGACGAAUAAGAACCGAACACACGUCUAAAUGA